UAAAUCAGAUAAUAAAUGUUCGGCAUCGAUCCCGACCCCGACUGCGUUUCACUUUCGGUACGCAGCGCCUUUACCGCUUGAGCUAACGACAAACUUGGUGAAGAUUACCGCAAACAAAAGUUUUUAUAUUGCUACAAAAUACGAAAUAACUCCCGUCUGUCCAGUCACUUGGUUAUUUUUUAUUUGAGCUGCUAUAAAUGUUACUAGCUCAUAUAAGAUCUGUGAAAUUAGUGCUAAAACAUAAACAAUUUUGUCAAAAAAUUAAAAGGCAAUAUGUCUGGAUCAAAUAAACUGACUAGAAGCAAACUGAUAUCUUGAAAUAUAGAUUAACAUGCUGACAAACUGUUACAGUUUAAUCAAGUUAUAAAUUCACAUCGAGU
This is a non-coding RNA of Paramuricea clavata, 380 nucleotides long. The record is from the annotation of a GenBank genome assembly. NCBI's taxonomy places the organism in Eukaryota, Metazoa, Cnidaria, Anthozoa, Malacalcyonacea, Plexauridae.